UGAUUACAAUAGUAAAUAUGGCAUCAGGAAGGCAUCAGAAUCAUUAGUGAUGACUUAAAAAAGAUUACUGCAGUAUUUCAAUGAAAAAUAUAACUUAAGCUGUUUUAAAUCAUGAAUAAAGACUAAUAUGUGCAAGCUUUUAAUUGAGGCAGAUCCCAUCUUGCAUCUCAUUUCCCAAUCAAUUAUUUCUCACGUUCACUUGUAUCUAUAAAACCUACA
This 219-nucleotide long non-coding RNA is filed under the name Elaeis guineensis (African oil palm). RNAcentral's name for it is "long non-coding RNA (EGUI_LNC055445)". Lineage: Eukaryota; Viridiplantae; Streptophyta; Magnoliopsida; Arecales; Arecaceae. The record is from RNAcentral.